UCCUACGGGAGGCAGCAGUGGGGAAUAUUGCACAAUGGGCGCAAGCCUGAUGCAGCCAUGCCGCGUGUAUGAAGAAGGCCUUCGGGUUGUAAAGUACUUUCAGCAGUGAGGAAGGUGGGUAUGUUAAUAGCAUACUCAUUUGACGUUAGCUGCAGAAGAAGCACCGGCUAACUCCGUGCCAGCAGCCGCGGUAAUACGGAGGGUGCGAGCGUUAAUCGGAAUUACUGGGCGUAAAGCGCAUGCAGGUGGUUUGUUAAGUCAGAUGUGAAAGCCCGGGGCUCAACCUCGGAAUUGCAUUUGAAACUGGCAAACUAGAGUACUGUAGAGGGGGUAGAAUUUCAGGUGUAGCGGUGAAAUGCGUAGAGAUCUGAAGGAAUACCGGUGGCGAAGGCGGCCCCCUGGACAGAUACUGACACUCAGAUGCGAAAGCGUGGGGAGCAAACAGGAUUAGAUACCCUGGUAG
This 463-nucleotide ribosomal RNA is filed under the name uncultured bacterium. RNAcentral describes it as "bacterial SSU rRNA". It matches the Rfam family "Bacterial small subunit ribosomal RNA", at positions 337 to 793 of the family's 1533-position model. The record is from RNAcentral.